ACUCGACAAAGUGAAGGGU
This 19-nucleotide small nuclear RNA is filed under the name Arabidopsis thaliana (thale cress). RNAcentral's name for it is "snRNA_03946". The record is from RNAcentral. Lineage: Eukaryota; Viridiplantae; Streptophyta; Magnoliopsida; Brassicales; Brassicaceae.